AUGAACGCUGGCGGCGUGCCUAAUACAUGCCAGUCGAGCGAACAGACGCGGAGCUUGCUCCUCUGACGUUAGCGCCGGACGGGUGAGUAACACGUGGAUAACCUACCUAUAAGACUGGGAUAACUUCGGGAAACCGGAGCUAAUACCGGAUAAUAUAUUGAACCGCAUGGUUCAAUAGUGAAAUACGGUUUUGCUGUCACUUAUAGAUGGAUCCGCGCCUUAUUAGCUGGUUGGUAAGGUAACGGCUUUCCAAGGCAACGAUGGGUAGCCGAGCUGAGCGGGGGAUCGGCCCCACUGGAACCGAGACGCCGUACCGGGUCCUACGGGAGGCCGAAGUAGGGAAUGUUCCGAAAUGGGGGGAAGGUUGAACGAGGGACGGCGGGUUGGUGAAGCAAGGCCUCGGGUCGGAAAACUCCUUUCUUGGGGAAGAGCAAAUGUGUAAGUAACUAUGCACGUCUUGACGGUACCUGAUCAGAAAGCCACGGCUAACUACGUG
This 496-nucleotide ribosomal RNA is filed under the name uncultured bacterium. RNAcentral describes it as "partial 16S ribosomal RNA". It matches the Rfam family "Bacterial small subunit ribosomal RNA", at positions 29 to 507 of the family's 1533-position model. The record is from RNAcentral.